UUAUUGAAUAAAAAUGUUUUUGUAACCUGGGAACCACGAGCCCUUGCCUGUUGAGUGAAACGAACCCGCGUGCUUUAAAAGGUCUUGGGCCUAUCCCAAGUGGCGUUGCCGGUAGAAUAGGGAACCAUUUCGCCACACUUGGCGUUGCUGGCAGGACUCUCUCUCAUAACGGCAAGGACGUGUGUUCCCGGGAUGUUUUUAGUUUUUUUUGUUGGUUCACUAAUGUCUGUCUUGUAGGCAUUUGGGUUUAAGGGGACAAAGCAGCAGUGGUUUCCAGUGGAUCUUCAUGCCAGUCUGAGGUACAGCUUUGUGGCAAGGUGAUGCCCCACUCUGGAGUUCUGGUUGUGAAAGAUCCCCCAGGUGGUGUUCCGGCUCAAGUGCCUGGUAUUCUGGGCAUGAAUGUCAUCCGUAAAUGCUACCAAGAGCUCUUUGGGCAGCAUGGCCUAACCUUGUUUUCUCAGCCCUGUGUUUCUGAGGCUCCGGGGCCGAUUGUGCGAGCACUGCAGCAGUGUUAUUAUGCGGAGGUUCCUCAGGAUAGCCCAGGAAGAGUAAAGUGUUGUUUGAGCCCUUGGAGUCUGGGUUGCCUAGUGGCUUGCUUGCUUCUCCUGCCCUGGUUCAAGUAGUUAGGGGCACAGCCUACAUACCAGUGGUUAAUGUCGGCUCUGUUGAGGCUGUGCUGCACCCCCGCACAGUUAUUGGCACCCUGGGCCCCGUCAAUGUCAUCAGCCUUCCUGCAGGAGUGACUGAGGUGCCGUC
Molecule: long non-coding RNA, 756 nt
Organism: Gasterosteus aculeatus aculeatus (three-spined stickleback)
Lineage: Eukaryota; Metazoa; Chordata; Actinopteri; Perciformes; Gasterosteidae
Source: Ensembl